Non-coding RNA from Pelobates cultripes (western spadefoot toad), 225 nucleotides. The record is from the annotation of a GenBank genome assembly. NCBI's taxonomy places the organism in Eukaryota, Metazoa, Chordata, Amphibia, Anura, Pelobatidae.
CUUGAAUACCUAUGACUAUGCAUACACUAAGUUUUAUGCAAAGAUAUUACCAUAUUUUUCCUCUCUUACAGCAUAAUCUGCCCAUCUAUUCCGGGAAAAUCAUGUUCUAUGCAGUUCGUUUUAUUGGAUAAUUUUACUUCUUCGGGAUUGCAAAUAAAGAGGAACAGGAUUGGUUGACAGAGCCUAUUAUGCUGGAGAAGUGGAUCCUGAUUGGCUGUUCCUGUU